Molecule: ribosomal RNA, 500 nt
Filed under: uncultured bacterium
Lineage: Bacteria
Description: partial 16S ribosomal RNA
Rfam family: Bacterial small subunit ribosomal RNA
Source: RNAcentral
AUUGAACGCUGGCGGCAUGCCUUACACAUGCAAGUCGAACGGCAGCACGGGAGCAAUCCUGGUGGCGAGUGGCGAACGGGUGAGUAAAGUAUCGGAACGUGCCCAGUCGUGGGGGAUAACGUAGCGAAAGUUACGCUAAUACCGCAUACGAUCUAUGGAUGAAAGCGGGGGGUCGCAAGACCUCGCGCGAUUGGAGCGGCCGAUAUCAGAUUAGGUAGUUGGUGGGGUAAAGGCUCAUCAAGCCGACGAUCUGUAGCUGGUCUGAGAGGACGACCAGCCACACUGGGACUGAGACACGGCCCAGACUCCUACGGGAGGCAGCAGUGGGGAAUUUUGGACAAUGGGCGCAAGCCUGAUCCAGCCAUGCCGCGUGCAGGAUGAAGGCCUUCGGGUUGUAAACUGCUUUUGUAUGGAACGAAAAGGUUUGGCCUAAUAAGCUGAGCUCAUGACGGUACCGUAAGAAUAAGCACCGGCUAACUACGUGCCAGCCGCCGCCGUAA